RNAcentral lists this small nuclear RNA (112 nucleotides) under Glossina austeni. The record is from RNAcentral. Lineage: Eukaryota; Metazoa; Arthropoda; Insecta; Diptera; Glossinidae.
GAGGUAAACAACAUAUGCGGACCUAUACAGAAUAUAUUGGAAUGAUAGACAGAAGAUAAGCAUGGCCAUGCGCAAGGAUAAUACGCAAAAUCCUGAAGCGUUCCAAAUUUUU